AAGAUCCAUAGGAUUGGAUCCAUAGAAACAUAGAGCAACUCUAUGUGGACGGAGAGAAACCUUUUAAGAGUUUAUCGGAAAUAUGUUACAGUAUGCCGGAAAGAAUUUCGGUAAUGAUGAUUAUGUUUGCGUUUUGAGGGAGUUUUGGCUUAUGAGAUUGGAAUUUAUGGUAUGAGCUACGAUGGCUCACCUUGCUUUUAAUAUGAGAUUGCCAUCACAGAAUUUUGCAAUGUCCAGUCCUUGUAGCAUCUCAUGGGUUUGCAGCACGCGGUAUCAAGGUACUAAGUUGCUUCAACAACACCCACUUUGUUAUCCUUGCUUAUCUCUUUCUGGUAAGAAUUUGAGAGCUCUAUGUGUGAACAGUAAACUGAUAGGCAAUGAAAGAGUAGUGUUGAAUACACCACCUUCCAGCAAAGAAGAGGCAGUUCAACAAGUAAAGGAAUGUCUCUACACUCUUUUGGAGAAGCCCUUGAAGAAUCUGGGUUCUUCUUCUGUGAAGCAGAGAAAACUGAGACAGGUCAAACUUCAAGUAGAAAUACCCAUUAUAGAUGAUUCCCCUUCUGCUCUCACCUCUCUGGUUGCCGAUAUCCUUGGUGGGUUUUCAUUCAAAAGGAAAGGGCAACCCACAAGAGUUGCAGUAUUUUGGUCAGAUUCUUCCAUGGCAGAGUUGGGCAGCCAGGCUUUCAAAAAUCUUGAAUAUGUAAAGAGCUUGGAUCUUUCAGAUCCAGACAAAGGAAGGGCAAUUAUUAAGGGUUCAGAUGUUGUGUUCUUUGUUGGUUCAGCGAUUUCACAAUGGUCUUCCAUGGAGUCUUUAUCUAAGGAGGCUGCCCCAUGCCCUGUGGUUCUCUUCAAUCCUAAUUGGUCUCCAGAAGAGGAAGAAGAAAAGAAUAUAAAUAGGUUUUUGUCGUCCUUUGAGACUGUCUAUUCAUUAACUGCUUUAGCAAUCCAGGGGUUCUUCAGCAAGACAGAAGGGGCAGUUUUCAAAUAUGCCACAAGUGAUGCUUCCAAAAGCAAGCCAUGGCUCAUUUUUAUCAAAGAGGAAGGCAAAUACAAGUGUGUUUCAAGCUUCCAAAAAAGACCAGGUGUAAGUGAGCUUGAGAAUGCCCUUUACAAUUCAAUUGGACUUAACUCCCCUGUCACCAAGUCAAUCAAGUUUCUCAGAGGCCUCAUUUCUGGCACAAAUAGAAAGAAAUAAGCCGGGGACUGAACGUGUUGGUCAGAAUAAGCACAGGCAGGGCUUGAGCCUGGUUCUCACUAGUUUGACUUGUUGCUUCAAAAAAACUUGCACGCAUUCAAAAUAACCUCUAUUUGGGCUUGUGGCAAACUACUGGACCUAGAACACAGAACUGGAUGCGGGGUAUUUAUCAACAUCCCACUGAGCUUGUAUGUACUACAAGCAGUUUUUCUGCGCUUACCUAUCUCUAUGUAAUUUUGAAAACUAGUAGACAGGAAAGCAUUUGUUAGAGCAUCUGCUAUCAUUUCUCUCAAGUACAGGACUUACACUUCUUUUUGAGCUACUUCAUUUCUUUAAUAGUGAUAUCGGAAAUCUAAAUGGUUGGUUCUACCAUAGACUGUGGGAUUUUGGGAUUUUUAAAUAUGGUAAUAAAAAAUUUAUCAAUAAAUUCAUUCUAAGACUGAAUAGCCAUUUCCCAAUCUAACACUGGUUUGAAGUUUGAUGGAUUUCUCUCGAGCCAUACUAACUGUUUUGGUGCUUUGAUGCUGAAAGAUUUCAGCUCCAACUUUUGAUCUACAAAAGCUGGCUGCUUUUCAGUCGUUGUAACAAGAAAUAAUAGCCGUCUAGUGACCUUUUAUUGUUGAUAUAUCUUGUCCAGUCAGCGUCAUAAAAACAUGCCACUUAUUGUAACUCAUUUGUAACCCAUUAAAGGUGGGAUCCUAAUCAUUUGUUCCUUAAAAAUAUGCUAGAACUUUGCUUCACAGCCUAUCAAUUCUGCUUACCUGUAUUUGUCUUAAACUGCCUAAUGGCUCUGGUCUAGUUCUAAUUUUUGGAUACAUAAGACUCCACAGCCACCACUACCUUUCGAUAGGGAACUAAUCUCUCCAUGGCUAUGUUAAAUGAUGUGUUUUUAAGAGUGUAUUAAUGAAUAAAUUGAUUUUUACAUAUA
Molecule: RNA transcript, 2123 nt
Organism: Cryptomeria japonica (Japanese cedar)
Lineage: Eukaryota; Viridiplantae; Streptophyta; Pinopsida; Cupressales; Cupressaceae
Exons: 3
Source: RefSeq, a predicted model, not a curated record